This is a long non-coding RNA of Daphnia pulex (common water flea), 1329 nucleotides long. RefSeq lists it as uncharacterized. NCBI's taxonomy places the organism in Eukaryota, Metazoa, Arthropoda, Branchiopoda, Diplostraca, Daphniidae. The record is from RefSeq and is a predicted model, not a curated record. The transcript is spliced from 8 exons.
CGUUUCACUGCAUGUCCGUCUGGUUGUUUUGGCAUUUUUCGUCUGUUGCCAGCGGUUGCCUGUUGAUUGAAUCAAACUCAACUUUAUCAAACAGAUAGCUGAAAAGUCCCCGCCCAUUUUCCGGUGGUUCCAGUCUGUUUUCAGUCACUCGGACCAUUUCGUACCUGUGAAAUGAAAGAUAUAGGUAUUCUAGAGCGACGCCUCCUUUGAGUGGCCCUGACAAGGUCCCUUUUGGAUUACCAUGCCAACGAGGCUACAAUGGAGAUAAUUAAAUUGUGCCCCAUCCAGGUAGUCCAGAUGACGCGAAGGUGCCGAGACGGAAUUCAAAUUCGUCGUAGUUGAGUCACAACUUGAAACGGCCAACCAAAUGAGCAAAGGACGUGCCACAUGAAGAUAAAGGACCACUAUUUGUUUUAUCCGAGUCGAAGAAAGCCAGGAAGCACCGACGAUAAGGAUUUCGAGUUUCGACCGCUAGGUGGCUCAUUCCAUCAGGUGGGCGGUGCCGCGUUAGAAAAAUCGUCUGCUGUUGCAGCCGGUGGAACAAACUUCAACGGGUGACUCACUACACCAGCAGUUAGUGGCGCGAAAAAGUAAUCGUCUGCUGCUGCUGCUGUACCGUGGUGUAGGCGGGUCUAGGCGUUUAACACAUGUUACGUGAAAUCUUGAAUGAAUCCAAUAAGAAGUAACCUAUUCGAAUGGCUAUAAUAGAAGUUCUCUAUUGUUUUUCCAAAGACAUGAAGUCUGAGUUUGCAAAGUUCUAAUUCACAGUUGCACGUGGUUUGAUCCUCCUUAUCAACGAAGCUGUUUGUGUGAUUGCUGUUUUAAUUUUUGGAGUUAUCCUCAUCAUCUUUUGGAGCCGACAAUCCAACGUCAGUCAACUCUUUCUCGACUUUCCCUUUUUACUGUGUCCUCGUGUACAUUCAUGAGAAGGUGAGUGUAUUCACGAGGACUUCCUUUCCUUCCGCUCUUCCUUAUACCUGACAUUGAGACUUUUCCAGCUACGACGUUCGACUUUCUCAUCCAUUUAAGGUAAUACAGUCGACCAUUUCAUUGCAAAUUUGAUUUUAAGCCACUUGGCAGCAGCUUAACAGUGAUAACUUCAUCUUCGUUCAAUGGCGCCUUCAAUUUCUGCGUGAUGUAGCUCACUUGACGCCUUUCAAUUAUUUAUAGUCUGGCGGUUAUCGCGAUUAUAACAAAAUUUUGUGGUUGUGUUUUCCAUCAGACCACAAUGUCCACCGAAACUUCGUGUUUCUGUCAUCUGUCAACUCGUGUCUGUUCAUCGUCUGUUUCUUAUGUUCCAUGAUUAAAUGUCCUUUUCUAAUAAUGUUU